UUAUUAAGGGUCCAAAAGGUGAAGCGGUUGGAUCCAUUACUCAACCCUUACCUAGCAGUUAUUUGAUCAUCCGAGCUACUUCAGAGUCAGAUGGAAGGUGCUGGAUGGAUGCUUUGGAGUUGGCUUUGAAAUGUUCUAGUCUUCUUAAACGUACAAUGAUCAGAGAAGGAAAGGAACAUGACCUGAGCGUUUCAUCAGAUAGCACACAUGUGACUUUCUAUGGCUUACUACGUGCUAACAAUCUCCACAGUGGUGAUAACUUCCAGUUAAAUGAUAGUGAAAUUGAACGACAACAUUUUAAGGACCAAGAUAUGUAUUCUGAUAAAUCUGAUAAAGAAAAUGAUCAAGAACAUGAUGAGUCUGAUAAUGAGGUGAUGGGGAAAAGUGAAGAAAGUGACACAGAUACAUCAGAAAGACAAGAUGACUCAUAUAUCGAACCUGAGCCUGUUGAGCCUUUAAAGGAGACUACCUACACUGAACAGAGCCAUGAAGAACUUGGAGAGGUAAAAGUCUGCUAUUUUUAGAGGUUCUGGAUUUUCAUAUUCUUGGGAAUUCUUAAAUGAAAUUGAAGAUAUUAUUUGCUUGAUCUAUUGCCUAUUUUUCUGUGAUAGAAUGUGAUAUUUUAAAAAUUGCAUACAUAUG
Molecule: small RNA, 642 nt
Filed under: Pan troglodytes (chimpanzee)
Lineage: Eukaryota; Metazoa; Chordata; Mammalia; Primates; Hominidae
Description: retained intron
Source: RNAcentral